GGCCUCAGAAGGGGACACCGCUGCGAAGGGGACAGCGGUACAAAGGUGACGCCGCCACAAAAGUGGUGACACCGCCACGAGGAGACACCGGCGCGAGGUGACACUGCCACAAGGAGGCACCGCCGUAAAGGUGACGCCGGCACUGGGUGAGCCCGCGGGCCGGUUCGUGCGUGCGCCCACAGGAGCACAUGCAGCAGAAACCAGCCGGGCAGUAAGUGCCUGUGCUGAGGGGUGCGGCCAAACCGCGCCACUGCCCCGACCACUUCUGGGGAAAAAGGAAGCAGAAAGAAGCUGAACAAGAAUUGGAAAGAUAUCGUAAUCAGAACAAUCCUUUUCUUGAAACCUGAGGACAAGGAGAUGUUCAAGAAGAGGUGGGAAAUGAAAGUGACAACAAGAGGCAAACCAUUUGUAUAAUAUGUAGAAGCACGACAAAGUUGUUGCUAAA
Taeniopygia guttata (zebra finch) is the source of this 445-nucleotide long non-coding RNA. RefSeq lists it as uncharacterized. NCBI's taxonomy places the organism in Eukaryota, Metazoa, Chordata, Aves, Passeriformes, Estrildidae. The record is from RefSeq and is a predicted model, not a curated record.